AAUCAACGCUGGCGGCGUGCCUAACACAUGCAAGUCGAACGAGAAAGUGGAGCAAUCCAUGAGUAAAGUGGCGACCGGGUGAGUAACACGUGACUAACCUACCUUCGAGUGGGGAAUAACCUCGGGAAACCGGGGCUAAUACCGCAUAAUGUCUUCGGACCAAAGGAGCAAUUCGCUUGAAGAGGGGGUCGCGGCCGAUUAGCUAGUUGGUGGGGUAACGGCCCACCAAGGCAAUGAUCGGUAGCCGGCCUGAGAGGGCGCACGGCCACACUGGAACUGAAACACGGUCCAGACUCCUACGGGAGGCAGCAGUGGGGAAUUUUGCGCAAUGGGGGAAACCCUGACGCAGCAACGCCGCGUGGAGGAUGAAGCCCCUUGGGGUGUAAACUCCUUUCGAUCGGGACGAUUAU
Molecule: ribosomal RNA, 410 nt
Filed under: bacterium Ellin624
Lineage: Bacteria; Pseudomonadati; Acidobacteriota; Terriglobia; Terriglobales; Acidobacteriaceae
Description: bacterial SSU rRNA
Rfam family: Bacterial small subunit ribosomal RNA
Source: RNAcentral